This 1652-nucleotide long non-coding RNA is filed under the name Triticum aestivum (bread wheat). RNAcentral's name for it is "long non-coding RNA (TAES_LNC004260)". Lineage: Eukaryota; Viridiplantae; Streptophyta; Magnoliopsida; Poales; Poaceae. The record is from RNAcentral.
CAGAAUGAAGUUUCUAUAUGCCCUACAAUACUCACAUAAUUUGUGAUUCUAAUAGGCUUCCUGCACCGACAUUUGAUGCCUUUCUAUUGUAAAUCUUCACCAAGUUGCCAUUUGUUUUUGUGGAAAUACAAACCAGAUGUAUGACCUUGAGUGAAGGAAUGCUAUUCCAUGAGUGAAGGAGCUCGAGGUGAACAGGCGGUGUGGGAAGGCGAGAGGAACCAGGAGCUCAUCCCUCCUCCCAUGGCUGCCUCGUGGAUCUGGAGUAUAAGGAGGACAACAUGUGCCUGUUGCAGGCGGCUCGAGCGAUGCAAGCCGGCGACGAACUAGGUGCUCCACUCUUUCUCCCCCUCUCUUAAUUUCUUCCUCACACGUAUUUUACUUUGCUAUUAUAUGGAUUUUUAAACUUGACGUGUGCAGAUCUGACAUAGAAGAGAGGAAGAAUAAUUUUAGCUAAGAGUGGAAUUUAGAGUUCAAAGAAUCAGUUGAUGCUAUUGACCAAAGAGCGAUUUUUGUUACAGUUCCUCUGAAUGAAUUAGUAAACCAGAAGGACCAAAACAUCAUCGCUCAGCCAUUGUUGUUAGAUUGAUGUUGCCUUGAUUACCACUUUGUUUGGUGGCUACACUAUAAAUUCUUGAGAUAUAGUGCAAUGGUUGAUAGUUUGUUGCAUAGUCAUAUUGAUUCUGCUGAACUAAUACUCUCUUUGUAUAUCUAGGAUUCCUACUAGAACAUGUCAUUCCAAAUUGUGACAAUGAUCUUUCUACUCAUGAGUAGUCCUUUUUUAUACUGAAUUUUGAUGCAUACUCUAUGCAGAAAAGAAGGCCUCCUCGGACGUUAAGAAGGUACAACUAGGUAGCAAUGGAAGUGCUCCAUUCAAAACCAAGUAAUAUCUCCGAAUUUUUACACUAGAAUGUAUGCAUGGUAAAUACCAUGACCUUGCAAAUUUACACAUGUCCCCUUCUUCUCCUUUUCUUAGGAACUUGGCAGAAGCUCUACAUAUGCAAAUGGAGGUUCAGACACAGCUCCAUGAACAGCUAUAGGUGCCUUCUCUGUUCCUAUUUUUGAGCUCUAAUAGGAUGGUGUUGUUGUCGCCUUGUCGGCAUAUAUUUCUGAUAGUAGGAGCAUUCUUUUUCUUGCUUCACAAUAAUUAUUGCGCUUUGUGUAUAUAUGAACCCAAAUCCCUAUUUAAAUGGGUGCUAAAUGUUUUUGCGGCAUGGUUGACUUUGGAGACUAGCGCUUUUAUAGUAUUGUUACGGACUCUGUUUUUUACUAAUAAUCGUAUUGAUUCUGCCGAACUAAUCCUCUCUUUGUAUAUCUAUAGGAUUCCUACUAGAACAUGUCAUUCCAAAUGGCGGCAAUGAUCUUUCUACUCAUGAGCAGUCCUUUUUUAUACUGAAUUUUGAUGCAUACUGUAUGCAGACAAGAAGGGCCCCUCGGACAUUAAGAAGGUAAGACUAGGUAGCAGUGGAAGUGCUCCGUUCAAAAACAAGUAAUAUCUCUGAAUUAUUACACUAGAAUGUAUGCAUGGUAAAUACGAUGUCCUUACAAAUUUACAUCUGCCGCCUUCUCCUUUUCUUAGGAACUUGGCAGAAGCUCUGCAUAUGCAAAUGGAGGUUCAGACACAGCUCCAUGAACAGGUAUAGGUGCCUUCUCUG